This 346-nucleotide unclassified non-coding RNA is filed under the name soil metagenome. RNAcentral's name for it is "partial contains 5.8S ribosomal RNA, internal transcribed spacer 2, and large subunit ribosomal RNA". The stretch from base 1 to 120 matches the Rfam family "5.8S ribosomal RNA", at positions 35 to 154 of the family's 154-position model. The record is from RNAcentral.
GAUGAAGAACGCAGCGAAAUGCGAUAAGUAAUGUGAAUUGCAGAACUCAGUGAAUCAUCGAAUCUUUGAACGCACAUUGCGCCCGCCAGUAUUCUGGCGGGCAUGCCUGUUCGAGCGUCAUUUCAACCCUCAAGCCCUCGGGUUUGGUGUUGGGGAUCGGCGAGCCUUUCUGGCAAGCCGGCCCCGAAAUCUAGUGGCGGUCUCGCUGCAGCCUCCAUUGCGUAGUAAUAAAACCCUCGCAACUGGAACGCGGCGCGGCCAAGCCGUUAAACCCCCAACUUCUGAAUGUUGACCUCGGAUCAGGUAGGAAUACCCGCUGAACUUAAGCAUAUCAAUAAGCGGAGGA